This 712-nucleotide long non-coding RNA is filed under the name Linum usitatissimum (flax). RNAcentral's name for it is "long non-coding RNA (LUSI_LNC006430)". Lineage: Eukaryota; Viridiplantae; Streptophyta; Magnoliopsida; Malpighiales; Linaceae. The record is from RNAcentral.
UUCAUCAUUCUCCACUUGUGAUGCGUCGUUGGAGUGUUGGCAUUCAACCUCUUGAUUUAGAUGUGAAGUAAGUCCCAACGUGGGUUACCUAGAGGGUGUGCCUCUGUAUUUGAUUAUUGAUGAUGGGAUAGGGUGGCUAGUAAGUCGUAUAGGUAAGCCACUGAACAAGUUUAUUCGUGAAGGGAUUGAUGUGAAGAUCUGUUUGCUACUGGAGAAAGGGACUUGUAAUCCUGAUUCUUAGAAAAUUAAUUUGAAUGAGGAGCGUAUCAUUAUCCCUAUUAAAAUGGCUCAACAGCGGCAUUAUCCUCAGGGCAAGCAUGCUCCAGCUGUGACUAGAGAAUGGAGAGGUAAAUCCCAGCAAAAUAUUUGUUUUGACCCAGCUAGCUCUGAAGGCAAUGCAACUGAAUCUCAGUGAGAGAGGAAGUUGCACCUUCAUCUAAUAGGAUUCCAACAGCUAGAGGGGGAGGAGAGGACUCUGCUAAGACUCCUAAGAGAGUGGAGGCGUAGUCUUCCCCUUAUCAAGUUGAAGGUCUUAAAGCUUUUAUGGAGGUGGUGAGGCUUCCUUGAGCACUAAAACUGCGAGCAUUUUGAAUAAUGUGGUUAUUGAGGAGAUCAAAGAAGAUUUGGAGGACAAUGAGGAGAUUGUGUUGGAGGCACCCCUGCAGCCAAUUAAACCUGGAACGGCCCCUCUUGGUGAUUUCUUUAGAGCUGC